RNAcentral lists this ribosomal RNA (231 nucleotides) under uncultured bacterium. RNAcentral describes it as "partial 16S ribosomal RNA". It matches the Rfam family "Bacterial small subunit ribosomal RNA", at positions 118 to 350 of the family's 1533-position model. The record is from RNAcentral.
UGAGCAACCUGCCCUUAGCUCUGGGAUAAACCCCGGGAAACCGGGGCUAAUACCGGAUACGAGUCCGUGCGGCAUCACACGGACUGGAAAGUUUUUCGGCUAAGGAUGGGCUCGCGGCCUAUCAGCUUGUUGGUGGGGUAAUGGCCCACCAAGGCGACGACGGGUAGCCGGCCUGAGAGGGCGACCGGCCACACUGGGACUGAGACACGGCCCAGACUCCUACGGGAGGCA